Molecule: microRNA, 22 nt
Filed under: Sus scrofa (pig)
Lineage: Eukaryota; Metazoa; Chordata; Mammalia; Artiodactyla; Suidae
Description: ssc-miR-9857-5p
Source: miRBase by way of RNAcentral
UGUUGGGACUGUGUUUGGCAUC